GCAGUAGGUCGUUUCACGUGAACCAGUCAAGUUCGUCCAUUUGUUCGGGGCCGUUUGAAUGAUUGUUUUUCGAUCUCCAAAAACACGCGGAAUUGGUGCCGGUCGAUGGGUGACAACGUUCCGCAUCGGACAAGUUUUAGAUAAAAUCUACGUCAGUGUUGAGAGGUUAAUUGAAUGCAAUCGGAGCUGAUGGAGGACGAAUCUCAUUUGAACUCAAUCCCCGCUGGACAAUCGGCCCAGCAAAGAACACCUUCCCCAUCGCGCUGCAUUGAUUUAAAUGUUUUUAGUUCCUCAAUCAAAUCUGAUUCCUUUUUAAAUACUACCUCUACCAAACAUUCGUUACCGCAUAUUUCGCUCGGAACGUUUAACAUGUCCACAUCCUCGCCAGUUUCUUCUCCUCCGCAGGUGCGGCAAGCAUCUUCGGUAGCGUCAUCAAAUCGUAACGGACUGACUGGACUUCCAAAAGUUGGCCGUCACCGACCAGUUGUGCGUAGCCAGAGUUCGCGGAUCUCGCUCCUGCGCCAGCCUCCGGCUAGUGCUUCUAGCCUCACCAGCGGAAACGAGGAAGAGCAUUUCUCCAUUCCCGAAAGGUACGUCGAGUUUCGUGGCAGGAGUUGCAAUCGUUGUUGGUGGUGGUGGAUCCCAUUGACCGUCAUUACGUCGAUCAUCGUCACUGCUGCCAUCAUCUGGUUAUUCCAACCUUACGGAUUAUUUGGUUACCAAGAAUACUCGAACGCUACGUUGGCGGAAGAGCAGCAGCAAGACGAAGUGUGUACGACUCCUGCUUGCGUCAAAGCGGCAGCACGUCUACUUGCUCGUCUCGAUCCGUCGAUUGAUCCCUGCACGGAUUUUUACCGUUUCUCCUGCGGCCGUUUCCUUGAAACCUACAGCGUCCCAGACGACUCUAAUCAGCUUUCAACCCUGCAGGAAAUGCAAGAUGAAAUGUUGCUGUCUACUCGAAAAGUGCUGGAACAGUCACACGAGGGCGAUGCUAACGUCAACGGAUCCAUCCGGAAAGUCAAAGAUUUCUACGCGUCGUGCAUGAGCCCGCAUUUGGACGAUGCGGAUUUUGGCAACGUCAGCGAGUUGCCACUGUUUGCUUUCCUACAGCCGGGCGAACUAGGCGCUUGGCCGUUGCUCAUGCUCGAGCCCGGCGACCGGCCGCACGAUCAUGCGUCACUCGAGCACCUGAUCGGGACCUUGGCAGCGCUCCAAGUCCAUAGCUUUGUUGACAUUUACGUGACGCAGGACGAGCGGAACUCGUCCCAGUACAUCCUUCAGUUUUUUAAAGGUGAGCCACUGAUGGAAAAAGAUUGGUAUGACGUGAGCAGGAAUGAGACGGCGGCCAGGCAUCUACGCUGCCUUCGCUCUUAUCGCAACCUCAUGGAGGAGACUAUCCUUCUUCUCAGUGGCGGCCGGCGUGAGCCACUUGACGAACUCGACGAUAUGCUGGCCUUUGAGGCUCGCUUUGCAAAAAUUUCCAGUACCUUCUGCGCUGAUGGUGACAUGAUUUCGGACCCGACCAACGACUCGAAUCGCACUACGAGUAACAAUGAAGAUCUGGAGAAUGCUGCCUUCCAUCACGAUACCAUCGUUGAUCAUCGCUUGAAUCUCUCCGACAUGGAAACCCAAUUUCCUGCGAUCAAUUGGACAGCAGCGGUGGAGACUCUUCUUCGAGCGACUGGCUUAAGCGAUAAAGAUCGGGCAGCUUUGCUGUUGUCUGACAUGCCCGUUAGUCUGCAGUGUCGUGACUUCCUACCCGAACUGAGCAACCUCCUCACCACUACACCAUCCAGAACCGUUACAAACUAUUUGAUAUGGCGAUUCAUCUUCAAAUCGAUGCCACUCAUCACCACCCGUUUCCACAAAAUGUGGACCAACUUCAAACAGAGUGUACCGAAUUUGGGGGAGGAGCGCAUUUAUCUUACCAGGUGGAAGCAGUGCGUCGCGCUGGUUAAUGAAGGUUUUGGAUUAGUGGCCGCUCAUCUUUACGUUACCAAAAUGGCCUCAAAUUGGACCAACACUUGGAUAUUGCGGCUAAUCGACGAACUAAAAGAGGCUUUCGGCGCCAGCAUCGCACGCCAAGAGUGGAUCGAAGAGGAGAUGACUCUACGUCUACUAGAGAAAUUGGAGGCAAUGGGCUCCAAGAUUGGCUAUCCCAACAAAAUUCUCAACCUGACUCAGUUGGAUCUCGAUUAUCAGGAGCUGCACAUUGACGGUGGCCAUAUUUUCUUCAACGUCAUGCGCAUGAAACGUCACGAAGUCUGGCGCGAAAUUCAAAAAGUAUUUCAGCCUCCACCACAAGAAAAAGAAUGGCUAGUUCAACCGCUGGUCGUCAAUGCCUUCCACAAUCCAUCGACCAACGAGAUCAGUAAUACUUCCUCUCUGUUUUUCCACUAGGCAUCCUUCGUGAGCCUUUCUUCAACCUAGACCUACCGAGGUACAUGACGUACGGCAAUCUAGGCGUCGUGAUCGGCCAUGAAAUUGUUCACGGUUUCGAUGUCAACGGACGACGGUACGACCGACAUGGCAACAUGACGCAAUGGUGG
This 2549-nucleotide unclassified non-coding RNA is filed under the name Daphnia magna. Its description in RNAcentral is "membrane metallo-endopeptidase-like 1, transcript variant X1". Lineage: Eukaryota; Metazoa; Arthropoda; Branchiopoda; Diplostraca; Daphniidae. The record is from RNAcentral.